GUGGUUAAUUCGAAGCAACGCGAAGAACCUUACCAGGUCUUGACAUCCCGAUGCUUAUUUCUAGAGAUAGAAAGUUACUUCGGUACAUCGGUGACAGGUGGUGCAUGGUUGUCGUCAGCUCGUGUCGUGAGAUGUUGGGUUAAGUCCCGCAACGAGCGCAACCCCUAUUGUUAGUUGCCAUCAUUCAGUUGGGCACUCUAGCGAGACUGCCGGUAAUAAACCGGAGAAGGUGGGGAUGACGUCAAAUCAUCAUGCCCCUUAUGACCCGGGCUACACACGUGCUACAAUGGUUGGUACAACGAGUUGCGAGUCGGUGACGGCGAGCUAAUCUCUUAAAGCCAAUCUCAGUUCGGAUUGUAGGCUGCAACUCGCCUACAUGAAGUCGGAAUCGCUAGUAAUCGCGGAUCAGCACGCCGCGGUGAAUACGUUCCCGGGCCUU
RNAcentral lists this ribosomal RNA (439 nucleotides) under uncultured Streptococcus sp. RNAcentral describes it as "bacterial SSU rRNA". It matches the Rfam family "Bacterial small subunit ribosomal RNA", at positions 941 to 1382 of the family's 1533-position model. Lineage: Bacteria; Bacillati; Bacillota; Bacilli; Lactobacillales; Streptococcaceae. The record is from RNAcentral.